CAGAUUGUAAGGAAUCGUACCCCAAACCGACACAGGUGGUCGGGUAGAGAAUACCAAGGCGCUUGAGAGAACUCGGGUGAAGGAACUAGGCAAAAUGGUACCGUAACUUCGGGAGAAGGUACGCUCUCGACGGUGAAGUCCCUCGCGGAUGGAGCUAUUGAGAGUCGCAGAUACCAGGUGGCUGCAACUGUUUAUUAAAAACACAGCACUGUGCAAAAUCGUAAGAUGACGUAUACGGUGUGACGCCUGCCCGGUGCCGGAAGGUUAAUUGAUGGGGUUAGACUUC
This 286-nucleotide ribosomal RNA is filed under the name Vibrio parahaemolyticus. Its description in RNAcentral is "partial 23S ribosomal RNA". It matches the Rfam family "Bacterial large subunit ribosomal RNA", at positions 1628 to 1898 of the family's 2925-position model. Lineage: Bacteria; Pseudomonadati; Pseudomonadota; Gammaproteobacteria; Vibrionales; Vibrionaceae. The record is from RNAcentral.